ACGUACACUCCUGCGGGAGGCAGCAGUGGGGAAUUUUACGCAAUGGGGGAAACCCUGACGUAGCGACACCGCGUGAGCGAAGAAGCCCUUUGGGGUGUAAAGCUCUGUCAGCUGGAACGAAAACAAUGACGGUACCAGCAGAGGAAGCAUCGGCUAACUACGUGCCAGCAGCCGCGGUAAGACGUAGGAUGCGAGCGUUGUCCGGAUUUAUUGGGCGUAAAGAGUUCGUAGGUGGUUUGUUAAGUUUGGUGUUAAAGAUCGGGGCUCAACCCUGGGACUGCACUGAAUACUGGCAGACUCGAGUGUGGUAGAGGCUAGUGGAAUUCCCAGUGUAGCGGUGAAAUGCGUAGAUAUUGGGAAGAACACCGGUGGCGUAGGCGACUAGCUGGGCCAUAACUGACGCUGAGGAACGAAAGCCAGGGGAGCGAAUGGGAUUAGAUACCCUGGUAGUCCCAU
Molecule: ribosomal RNA, 456 nt
Filed under: uncultured organism
Description: partial 16S ribosomal RNA
Rfam family: Bacterial small subunit ribosomal RNA
Source: RNAcentral